RNAcentral lists this ribosomal RNA (196 nucleotides) under uncultured bacterium. RNAcentral's name for it is "partial 16S ribosomal RNA". It matches the Rfam family "Bacterial small subunit ribosomal RNA", at positions 1297 to 1500 of the family's 1533-position model. The record is from RNAcentral.
AUCGGAGUCUGCAACCCGACUCCGUGAAGCUGGAUUCGCUAGUAAUCGCGCAUCAGCCAUGGCGCGGUGAAUACGUUCCCGGGCCUUGUACACACCGCCCGUCAAGCCAUGGAAGCCGGGGGCGCUUGAAGUGCGUUGCCGCAAGGCGCGCCCUAGAGCGAAACCGGUGACUGGGGCUAAGUCGUAACAAGGUACC